AGUAUAUCUUUAGUUGGAGCAUUUCCGCAGUGGAGUGAACAGCAUUGGUGAAAACAGUGGUUUAGAAAAUUAGACCAGAAUAAUUGGUUGGAAUAAAAGCCACCACCAGCGCUCCAGGAAAGAGGUUUUGCACCCCUUUCAUAAGGACCUCCUGUUUUAUGAUCUCCCCCCUGCCCCCCUUCAUCCGGAGCCAGGCCAGGGUCACAGAGCUGAUCACCUGUGAUAUCUCACAGUUCAGCACAACUGACUGAUUCCUGGACAGACCACUAGGGGGCACUGCUGAGACUGAGAGAGCACAUGCAUCUGAGGCCACAAGGGUUAGAUCAGACCUUUGCAAUGCCACCCAUCUCCAGUAAACUGUUCUGAAUGAGUUCAGAGAAUGGCAGGCUAG
Long non-coding RNA from Anguilla rostrata (American eel), 391 nucleotides. RefSeq lists it as uncharacterized. The transcript is spliced from 3 exons. The record is from RefSeq and is a predicted model, not a curated record. NCBI's taxonomy places the organism in Eukaryota, Metazoa, Chordata, Actinopteri, Anguilliformes, Anguillidae.